Molecule: long non-coding RNA, 974 nt
Organism: Rana temporaria (common frog)
Lineage: Eukaryota; Metazoa; Chordata; Amphibia; Anura; Ranidae
Exons: 2
Source: RefSeq, a predicted model, not a curated record
GGAGGCUGCUGGAUACAGAGCCCCCCAGCCUCUUAACCCCUCCUCUCUCACUUCCUGUAGAGCCACAAAUGUGCUCCAAAGGCUGCAAGCAUUUCAAUGCCACGUCACAGGAGCCUGGAUAUCCCUGGGCUUGCUCUGCAGCAUCCACUUCUGCAGCGAUAUAGGGAAGACUGGUUACUCCAAGUCCUGAACACUAGAAGAACUGUUCAAGUCUCUCCAAAGCUGCAUGCCCAGCCAUAGCAAAACCUGACAUUCUUUAAACUUUUUGCAAUAUCCAACGGUCUAGACUAAAAGUGCGCAGAAACGGUUAGAAGCUACUGGGGUCACUUAAGUAAACCAAAUAAAAUAAAUAAAACCCUGAUGUUAUAGCAUGUGACAGUGGAAGUGUUACUACAAGACAUAGCGCCAGUUCUGCUAGUUUACUUUGAUCCACGUCUCAUAAUCCAGCCCCUUUGUUGCAUUGCUAACCAGACUGCUUACUAGCUCCACGUCUGCUCUACAUCUUAUAAAUUGGGUGCAGGGAGGAUAGUGGCAUACAGGGUUAACAAGACCUCGGGGUCAGCCUUAGAUGCCAAGGUCACCAAAUUGCUAGGGGCGAAUUGCUUGGAGAAGUUAGUUUGAAGAUUUAACUCCGCUAACAAAGGCGGGCGCACAUCUGGCGGUCAGACGGGCACAAAGACACGACUAUUCUGCAGUUCUGUGAGGCACAGGAAGUGGCGAGGAAUUUUCUUGAUCGUCGCCGGCUGGGAUUCUGCAAUUCAGAGCCUGACCCCGUUCGCCCAGUGUUCAGACUACGUGUUCGUUGGACUGUGAUUGAACAGUAGUCUACACACUGGUUAAACUGGGAUGGACAACCACCGACAUGAAGACACACGGAACCUCAAUGGAGAGAACAGGAGACACAUGGCAAGCAGAUGUGUGUGUGAGUUCAUGUUAGAAUGCAACUGCCUCAAAAUGUGUUCUAAAAAAAAAAA